GGGAGAAGUUGGAAGAGAUGAGAGUUUUGGGGUUUUGAUUUUUCUUAUUGGGUGUUGAGAUUUUGAUGUGGGAAAGGGGUUAAAUAGGUAUUAAAAUAAGUUUAUAAACAUCAUCCAAAGUUACCAAAACAUCCUCAUAUUUAUUUGAACUUUCAGACAUGUCAAACUCAACUUUUAUUUCUGGAAUCUUCGUAGUGGAGCAGUUCCCGCAUGAAUUUUUUUGAAAAUAACUUCAGGUACAAUUGAAUCUAUUUUGUGUACCUGACGCGGACCAACAUUAUUACCUAUGAACGGC
This 295-nucleotide unclassified non-coding RNA is filed under the name Hevea brasiliensis (rubber tree). Lineage: Eukaryota; Viridiplantae; Streptophyta; Magnoliopsida; Malpighiales; Euphorbiaceae. The record is from RNAcentral.